GAUGAACGCUAGCUACAGGCUUAACACAUGCAAGUCGAGGGGUAACGAGAGGAAAGCUUGCUUUCCUUGUCGACGACCGGCGCACGGGUGAGUAACACGUAUCCAACCUGCCCCCAACUAGGGAAUAACCUUGCGAAAGUAAGACUAAUACCCUAUAAUUUCCUCAGAUGUCAUCUGACGAGGAAUAAAGAUUUAUCGGUUGUGGAUGGGGAUGCGUCUGAUUAGCUUGUUGGCGGGGUAACGGCCCACCAAGGCAACGAUCAGUAGGGGUUCUGAGAGGAAGGUCCCCCACAUUGGAACUGAGAUACGGUCCAAACUCCUACGGGAGGCAGCAGUGAGGAAUAUUGGUCAAUGGGCGGAAGCCUGAACCAGCCAAGUAGCGUGCAGGAUGACGGCCCUAUGGGUUGUAAACUGCUUUUAUACAGGAAUAAAGUUAGCCACGUGUGGUUAUUUGUAGGUACUGUAUGAAUAAGGACCGGCUAAUUCCGUGCCAGCAGCCGCCGUAA
RNAcentral lists this ribosomal RNA (506 nucleotides) under uncultured bacterium. RNAcentral's name for it is "partial 16S ribosomal RNA". It matches the Rfam family "Bacterial small subunit ribosomal RNA", at positions 28 to 523 of the family's 1533-position model. The record is from RNAcentral.